ACGCUGGCGGCAUGCUUUACACAUGCAAGUCGGACGGCAGCACAGAGAAGCUUGCUUCUUGGGUGGCGAGUGGCGAACGGGUGAGUAAUAUAUCGGAACGUACCGAGUAAUGGGGGAUAACUAAUCGAAAGAUUAGCUAAUACCGCAUAUUCUCUGAGGAGGAAAGCAGGGGACCUUCGGGCCUUGCGUUAUUCGAGCGGCCGAUAUCUGAUUAGCUAGUUGGUGGGGUAAAGGCCUACCAAGGCGACGAUCAGUAGUGGGUCUGAGAGGAUGAUCCGCCACACUGGGACUGAGACACGGCCCAGACUCCUACGGGAGGCAGCAGUGGGGAAUUUUGGACAAUGGGCGCAAGCCUGAUCCAGCCAUGCCGCGUGUCUGAAGAAGGCCUUCGGGUUGUAAAGGACUUUUGUCAGGGAAGAAAAGGCUGUUGCUAAUACCGACAGCUGAUGACGGUACCUGAAGAAUAAGCACCGGCUAACUACGUGCCAGCAGCCGCGGUAAUACGUAGGGUGCGAGCGUUAAUCGGAAUUACUGGGCGUAAAGCGAGCGCAGACGGUUACUUAAGCAGGAUGUGAAAUCCCCGGGCUCAACCUGGGAACUGCGUUCUGAACUGGGUGACUAGAGUGUGUCAGAGGGAGGUAGAAUUCCACGUGUAGCAGUGAAAUGCGUAGAGAUGUGGAGGAAUACCGAUGGCGAAGGCAGCCUCCUGGGAUAACACUGACGUUCAUGCUCGAAAGCGUGGGUAGCAAACAGGAUUAGAUACCCUGGUAGUCCACGCCCUAAACGAUGUCAAUUAGCUGUUGGGCAACUUGAUUGCUUAGUAGCGUAGCUAACGCGUGAAAUUGACCGCCUGGGGAGUACGGUCGCAAGAUUAAAACUCAAAGGAAUUGACGGGGACCCGCACAAGCGGUGGAUGAUGUGGAU
This 924-nucleotide ribosomal RNA is filed under the name uncultured bacterium. Its description in RNAcentral is "bacterial SSU rRNA". It matches the Rfam family "Bacterial small subunit ribosomal RNA", at positions 33 to 946 of the family's 1533-position model. The record is from RNAcentral.